This 253-nucleotide ribosomal RNA is filed under the name uncultured Asaia sp. RNAcentral's name for it is "partial 16S ribosomal RNA". It matches the Rfam family "Bacterial small subunit ribosomal RNA", at positions 524 to 776 of the family's 1533-position model. The record is from RNAcentral. Lineage: Bacteria; Pseudomonadati; Pseudomonadota; Alphaproteobacteria; Acetobacterales; Acetobacteraceae.
UACGAAGGGGGCUAGCGUUGCUCGGAAUGACUGGGCGUAAAGGGCGCGUAGGCGGUUUACACAGUCAGAUGUGAAAUUCCAGGGCUUAACCUUGGGGCUGCAUUUGAUACGUGUAGACUAGAGUGUGAGAGAGGGUUGUGGAAUUCCCAGUGUAGAGGUGAAAUUCGUAGAUAUUGGGAAGAACACCGGUGGCGAAGGCGGCAACCUGGCUCAUUACUGACGCUGAGGCGCGAAAGCGUGGGGAGCAAACAGG